UAGGGAAUCUUCGGCAAUGGACGGAAGUCUGACCGAGCAACGCCGCGUGAGUGAAGAAGGUUUUCGGAUCGUAAAGCUCUGUUGUUAGAGAAGAACGUUGGUAGGAGUGGAAAAUCUACCAAGUGACGGUAACUAACCAGAAAGGGACGGCUAACUACGUGCCAGCAGCCGCGGUAAUACGUAGGUCCCGAGCGUUGUCCGGAUUUAUUGGGCGUAAAGCGAGCGCAGGCGGUUCUUUAAGUCUGAAGUUAAAGGCAGUGGCUUAACCAUUGUAAGCUUUGGAAACUGGAGGACUUGAGUGCAGAAGGGGAGGGUGGAAUUCCAUGUGUAGCGGUGAAAUGCGUAGAUAUAUGGAGGAACACCGGUGGCGAAGGCGGCUCUCUGGGCUGUAACUGACGCUGAGGCUCGAAAGCGUGGGGAGCAAACAGG
RNAcentral lists this ribosomal RNA (429 nucleotides) under Bacillota bacterium. RNAcentral's name for it is "Firmicutes bacterium partial 16S ribosomal RNA". It matches the Rfam family "Bacterial small subunit ribosomal RNA", at positions 355 to 776 of the family's 1533-position model. The record is from RNAcentral. Lineage: Bacteria; Bacillati; Bacillota.